GAUGAACGCUGGCGGCGUGCCUAAUACAUGCAAGUCGAGCGAACAGAUGAGGAGCUUGCUCCUCUGACGUUAGCGGCGGACGGGUGAGUAACACGUGGAUAACCUACCUAUAAGACUGGGAUAACUUCGGGAAACCGGAGCUAAUACCGGAUAAUAUAUUGAACCGCAUGGUUCAAUAGUGAGAGACGGCUUUGCUGUCACUUAUAGAUGGAUCCGCGCCGCAUUAGCUAGUUGGUAAGGUAACGGCUUACCAAGGCAACGAUGCGUAGCCGACCUGAGAGGGUGAUCGGCCACACUGGAACUGAGACACGGUCCAGACUCCUACGGGAGGCAGCAGUAGGGAAUCUUCCGCAAUGGGCGAAAGCCUGACGGAGCAACGCCGCGUGAGUGAUGAAGGUCUUCGGAUCGUAAAACUCUGUUAUUAGGGAAGAACAAAUGUGUAAGUAACUGUGCACGUCUUGACGGUACCUAAUCAGAAAGCCACGGCUAACUACGUG
This 497-nucleotide ribosomal RNA is filed under the name uncultured bacterium. Its description in RNAcentral is "partial 16S ribosomal RNA". It matches the Rfam family "Bacterial small subunit ribosomal RNA", at positions 28 to 507 of the family's 1533-position model. The record is from RNAcentral.